Molecule: ribosomal RNA, 125 nt
Filed under: Aspergillus wentii
Lineage: Eukaryota; Fungi; Ascomycota; Eurotiomycetes; Eurotiales; Aspergillaceae
Description: partial small subunit ribosomal RNA
Rfam family: Eukaryotic small subunit ribosomal RNA
Source: RNAcentral
CCUUUGUACACACCGCCCGUCGCUACUACCGAUUGAAUGGCUUGGUGAGGCCUUCGGACUGGCUCAGGAGGGUUGGCAACGACCCCCCAGAGCCGGAAAGUUGGUCAAACCUGGUCAUUUAGAGG